CCUACGUGAGGCAGCAGUGAGGAAUAUUGGUCAAUGGGCGCGAGCCUGAACCAGCCAAGUAGCGUGAAGGAUGACUGCCCUACGGGUUGUAAACUUCUUUUUUAAAGGCAUAACGUGAGGCACGUGUGCCUUUUUGUAUGUACUUUAUGAAUAACGAUCGGCUAACUCCGUGCCAGCAGCCCGUGUACUACGGAGGGAGCAAGCGUUGUCAGGAAGUACUGGGCGUAAAGGGCCGGUAGGUGGGUGCUUACGUCAGGUGUGCAAAGUCCGGGCUCAACCUGGGGACUGCACUUGAAACUGGGUGUCUUGAGGGCAGUAGAGGAAAGUGGAAUUCCUAGUGUAGCGGUGAAAUGCGUAGAUAUUAGGAGGAACACCAGUGGCGAAGGCGACUUUCUGGACUGUACCUGACGCUGAGGCGCGAAAGCGUGGGUAGCGAACGGGAUUAGAGACCCUAGUAGUC
RNAcentral lists this ribosomal RNA (460 nucleotides) under uncultured bacterium. RNAcentral describes it as "partial 16S ribosomal RNA". It matches the Rfam family "Bacterial small subunit ribosomal RNA", at positions 338 to 795 of the family's 1533-position model. The record is from RNAcentral.